GUGGCAUGUUCCCCGACCAGGGAUUGAACCUGCGCCCCCUGCAUCGGAAACUUGGAGUCUUAACCACUGGACCGCGAGGGAAGUCCCUGUAUCAUAUUUUAGAUUUCACAUGGAUGAGGAAACAGAGGCAGAGAGGCUCUUACACCUCACAGAGGUGACUCCCUUUGGUGAAAGAACUACUGAGCAGGGAGGUGAGCCCAGGCAUUAUUACCUCCAGAGCAUGUGCUUUGUCCACCACGACACAGCACUUCCCAGGGAGGCUGGUUCAUUAAGGGAACCUUGACAUUCUGCAUCUACAAAUGAGUCUUGUCUGAAAGGUCUGCUUUAAUGCAAGACACUCACUGUCUCUGGAAAGAUCUGGGGAUGGAAAAAUCUG
Non-coding RNA from Kogia breviceps (pygmy sperm whale), 376 nucleotides. The record is from RefSeq and is a predicted model, not a curated record. Lineage: Eukaryota; Metazoa; Chordata; Mammalia; Artiodactyla; Physeteridae.